UAUCUCCUCAGAAAGUGACUGAGAAUCCUAAGAAAGACGAGCGAGAUGAAAGCCCUGGCCAUUCUGAAGGAUAAAAGAACAACUAUUGAAGCAGAAUUACACCAGGAGCAAACCAACACAGGAAACGCCAGAUGGGAACUUCAUAAGGAAUUUGAGGUAGGCGUUAUCAGCGACAAAACAACUGGAAAUUGAAACGGAAAAACUGAGAAAGAUUUACAAUGAUAAAUCUGAGGUAAUCUAACGUUUUAUGUUCAGUUUACCGUAUUUCUAUUUUAGUGAGAGAUGUUGAGUAUUUCAAAUUCAAUUUCUUAUUCAUAUCUCUGUUUCAGAAAGUGUGAAGUUUAAGGGAGCAACUCAGUGAUUUUCCUACGGAACACAACAACACUUCAGUUUGUCUGUAAAAGGAACGGAGGCUAAAACUUGCCCAUCUAAAUACAGUCAAGGAAUUACACCAAGCUGUUACCGACGGGUGUAACCAUGCCUUGAGUAGGAUCGCAGACCUCCGUGCUAAGUCCAAAGAGUACAGAACAGGCCCUUACAUGGUGGAGGAAACAGCAGCCGCUAUGCCAGAUGUCAUUGAAGAACUACAGUUCGUCUUUGAUGCCGUAGAGUUUCAAAACCAAACAGCUAUGUUGAUCAUGAACACCUUGGAACGUGAUAUCACCAACUGUCAACAACGGAUGGAGCCAACAGUGGAAACUCAUACUACUCUGUUCACAACCAGACAGGAGAAAAUGGAGGAAACCAAGCUUUCUUUGUUGCAGAAGAGGAUGCACAGAGCUGUGGUGAAAUACUUCAGACAACGCAGCCUCUACAGCCUGGCUGAACUGGCCCGCUUCCAGAACCUCUCUAACGAGAACAACCAGAAAAUAAAAACCAUCCAGGAGGAGUUGUCAGAAGCAAUCCAGCGCAUCUCUGCUUUCCUGCAGUCAGUGGCAGAUGACUCAACUAGAGUAACAGUGAUCAUGCUGCGACAAUAGAGACAGCAGCAGAGAACAAACAAGCGGGUCUGGAUGCCAUUGGAUUGAACAAGAAGAAGAUUCUUACAGUUCAGAUAACAGUGUAAUUGGACAUUCACCUGGUCCCAGACAACUUACUUACCCCAGCACGCUUCACUAAUUCACUAUGCUCCCUCUCUCUCUCUUACCAGCAGCAGAUCCAUAACAAUGAAACAGGUGACUUUCAUGCUGCUGUCAGGACUGAUCUAAUUUUAGCUGGGUGAAUGAUUGCAAUUGGCUUUGCCUCAUCAGAUAAUUAAUCUAUGUCACCAUUAAUUGGAAAAGAGAAUAAUUACAGGCAGUGUUGACAGAAACUCUACGCUUCUCCAGAUUUCGAGAUCUAAUUACGACUACUAAAACCCACCGUGACCUUAACUAGCACUUAGUACAUCACCUCGACCACCCUGACCAAUGCCGAAGCAAAAAAACUUCCUCUCAGUAGACAUUAAGCCCUGUUUUUGUUGUUUCAUUUUUUUCUCCCUCUCCCUUUUUCUCUCUCCCUCUGUGCUCUCCUAGAGAGCUGUCUCCCUCAAUCACUUUUCAAUGUUCAAUCUUCAUUUUGUGGAAGUUUAGCAUUUUCAAUGAGCUGGAUAUGAAUGAUUAAUGAAUAAAUUUAAAUGCUUCAUUUUGUCCAUGGAUCAUUAGUUAAGUCCUUUGUGUGAAGGACCUGAAAAAAGGAGUAAAAAUUAUUGAGACAUUAGCCUGGAGCAAUCUAGGGGUAAAUAGUGUGCACAUUAUAAAAUAAUGUUGUGUAGCGGGUGCAGUAUCCUACUGGCUUUCUAACUAACUGAAGAACCCCCAGGUAACGCUGCUUUCAGUUUAGGCUGAAUCCCACAUAGUAUUUAUUUGUAGGAGAAAAUGUAUUAUUUUAUCAAGCAUGUUCCCAUUGCUUUAUAGGCCUACUAAUGAUGUGGCACAUUAAUAUUUAUUACAUUUAGAUUUUUCUGUUUGAUAAAAUUUGUGAUACAAAUAUUGUACGACAACAUUGUUUAUAUUAGAUUAUUGUGAUGAUGUAUGAUAUUUUCUCACCAAGAUGUUCUUGAACUCAACUCAAGAACUAGUGACAGUGUCACUCAGCCAGGUGAUGGAUACUGUUGGUCCAUUCAGGUCUGCUGUCUUCUGGUUCGCUGUGUGGUUGAUAGAGAUGUUGUUUGUUUGUUGAUGGCACCGAAGCCUCUCUCCCCUCCCUGCCUGCCAGCCAGGACAGAGGGGGGCAGUAUGAAACAACAAGCUGAGAGGGAGACAUUGACAUCACCAUUGACUUUAGCAAGACAAGCUCCAUUUCCUCCUUAGCAUGUCCACGUUCAUGCUUUGUCAUAGAAUAGCAUCUUAAAGUGUGUGUUCAAUUUGAUAAUUUGGUCUUUUUAAAUGUAAAAACAGAUAAAGUUAAAGUUAAAGGCCCAGUGCAGUCAAAAUGUGAUUUUCCUGUGUUUUAUUUAUUUCCACACUGAGGUUGGAAUAAUACUGUGAAAUUGUGAAAAUUAUGAUAAUGCCCU
Molecule: long non-coding RNA, 2494 nt
Filed under: Oncorhynchus kisutch (coho salmon)
Lineage: Eukaryota; Metazoa; Chordata; Actinopteri; Salmoniformes; Salmonidae
Description: lncRNA (ENSOKIG00005016431.1)
Source: RNAcentral